This is a long non-coding RNA of Daphnia carinata, 268 nucleotides long. RefSeq lists it as uncharacterized. The record is from RefSeq and is a predicted model, not a curated record. NCBI's taxonomy places the organism in Eukaryota, Metazoa, Arthropoda, Branchiopoda, Diplostraca, Daphniidae. The transcript is spliced from 3 exons.
AGAAAAACGCGUGGCUGGAGAAAAACUCGUGGCUGGAGAAAAAUAUUUAAAAAUGGAUAAGAUAAUAAAAGAUAAGGAUGAUAAAAUUAUGAAGCUGCAGGCUCAAUUUUUUCAACAGCACAGAAUCUUAGAUGACAACAAAACUAAGGAUGCUCAAACUUUGUGUCUACAAGCUCAGUUACUGGAAAAUAACAAAUUAGAACUGGACACUUUCAAAACAGUGAAGGAGGUUUUCCAAACUCAUCCCUAACUGAACGUGAGGAUGAGU